CAGACCAAUGGUGAAGACUCGUGACAUAGGAGUCAUGGAUGAUGAAAGUACAUGUCUGAAACUCUGAGGUCCAG
Small nucleolar RNA from Equus asinus (donkey), 74 nucleotides. The record is from Ensembl. NCBI's taxonomy places the organism in Eukaryota, Metazoa, Chordata, Mammalia, Perissodactyla, Equidae.